GUGACAGGCAGCUCCAGACAACGAGGUUUAAUGGUGGUCAAGGGUGGGUGGGGCCCGGACACCUGGGUCCCUCGGACACCUGGGUCCCUCAGACACUUGGGUUCCUCAGACACUCGGGUUCCUCAGACGCUUGGGUUUCUUGGACGCUUGGGUCCCUCGGACACUUGGGUUCCUCAGACGCUUGGGUUCCUUGGACACCUGGGUUUCUUGGACACUUGGGUUUCUCGGACACUCGGGUUUCUCGGACACUCGGGUUCCUCAGACGCUUGGGUUUCUUGGACACUUGGGUCCCUCAGACGCUUGGGUUCCUGGGACACUUGGGUUUCUUGGACACUUGGGUUUCUCGGACACUUGGGUUCCUCAGACGCUUGGGUUCCUCAGACACUUGGGUUUCUUGGACACUUGGGUUUCUCGGACACUCGGGUUCCUCAGACACUUGGGUUCCUUGGACACUUGGGUCCCUCGGACACCUGGGGGACAAGGAGGGGACCCAGGUGUCUGGGUCACCCAUGGGUAGCAGGGACCCAGGUGUCCUGGCCCCACAGGGACAAGGAGGGGGCCCAGGCGUCCGGGUCACUGGCGGGGGGGUUCGGGGGUGCCGAGCCCCGCGAGCAGGCGAGCGACCUCGUCCCGGAGCUUCUCCUCCUGCGCCGCCGUGUCCGUCGCGAACUGCGACCCUGGGGGCAGAGGUCGGGGGUCGCUGGGGGCCGGGGGCCACCCAGGUUUGGGGGUCCCCCAUGGGGGGGGGCGUGGUUUGGGGGUUUUGGUUUUGGGGUCCCCCCCAUUGGGUUGGGGUUGGGUUUUGGGGUCCCCAGUUGGGUCACGUUGGGUUUGGGGGUCCCCCAGGUGGGUCACGUUCAGGUUCGGGGUUGA
RNAcentral lists this long non-coding RNA (873 nucleotides) under Apteryx owenii (little spotted kiwi). RNAcentral's name for it is "lncRNA (ENSAOWG00000013243.1)". The record is from RNAcentral. Lineage: Eukaryota; Metazoa; Chordata; Aves; Apterygiformes; Apterygidae.